GUGAACGCUGGCGGCAUGUUUAAGGCAUGCAAGUUGAAUGCUCCGCAAGGGGCAUGGCAGACGGGAGAGUAACACGUUGGUAAUCUACCUUUAUCUCGGGCAUAACCCUUCGAAAGGGGGGAUAAUACCUGAUAGUCAUGGGGGGUCAUAUGACAUUCCCAUGUAAAGAUUUAUCGGAUAAAGAGGAACCUACGGCCCAUCAGCUUGUUGGUAGGGUAAUGGCCUACCAAGGCUACGACGGGUAACGGGUGUGAGAGCAUGACCCGUCCCACUGGGACUGAGACACUGCCCAGACUCCUACGGGAGGCUGCAGUCGAGAAUCUUCCUCAAUGGGCGAAAGCCUGAAGGAGCAAUGCCGCGUGAUCGAUGAAGCUCUUCGGAGUGUAAAGGUCUUUUAUCAGGGACGAAUUAGUGACGGUACCUGAUGAAUAAGUCACUGCUAACUUCGU
Molecule: ribosomal RNA, 449 nt
Filed under: uncultured bacterium
Lineage: Bacteria
Description: partial 16S ribosomal RNA
Rfam family: Bacterial small subunit ribosomal RNA
Source: RNAcentral